This 468-nucleotide ribosomal RNA is filed under the name uncultured bacterium. RNAcentral describes it as "partial 16S ribosomal RNA". It matches the Rfam family "Bacterial small subunit ribosomal RNA", at positions 28 to 507 of the family's 1533-position model. The record is from RNAcentral.
GACGAACGCUGGCGGCGUGCUUAACACAUGCAAGUCGAACGGAAAGGCCCUGCUUUUGUGGGGUGCUCGAGUGGCGAACGGGUGAGUAACACGUGAGUAACCUGCCCUUGACUUUGGGAUAACUUCAGGAAACUGGGGCUAAUACCGGAUAGGAGCUCCUGCUGCAUGGUGGGGGUUGGAAAGUUUCGGCGGUUGGGGAUGGACUCGCGGCUUAUCAGCUUGUUGGUGGGGUAGUGGCUUACCAAGGCUUUGACGGGUAGCCGGCCUGAGAGGGUGACCGACCACAAUGGGACUGAGAGAAGGCCCAGAAUCCUACGGGAGGCAGCAGUGGGGAAUAUUGCACAAUGGGCGGAAGCCUGAUGCAGCAACGCAGCGUGCGGGAUGACGGCCUUCGGGUUGUAAACCGCUUUCGCCUGUGACGAAGCGUGAGUGACGGUAAUGGGUAAAGAAGCACCGGCUAACUACGUG